This 383-nucleotide non-coding RNA is filed under the name Mesobacillus campisalis. RNAcentral's name for it is "Bacillus campisalis Bacterial large subunit ribosomal RNA". It matches the Rfam family "Bacterial large subunit ribosomal RNA", at positions 2544 to 2925 of the family's 2925-position model. The record is from Rfam by way of RNAcentral. Lineage: Bacteria; Bacillati; Bacillota; Bacilli; Caryophanales; Bacillaceae.
AUCCUGGGGCUGUAGUCGGUCCCAAGGGUUGGGCUGUUCGCCCAUUAAAGCGGUACGCGAGCUGGGUUCAGAACGUCGUGAGACAGUUCGGUCCCUAUCCGUCGUGGGCGCAGGAAAUUUGAGAGGAGCUGUCCUUAGUACGAGAGGACCGGGAUGGACGCACCGCUGGUGUACCAGUUGUCUUGCCAAAGGCAUCGCUGGGUAGCUAUGUGCGGACGGGAUAAGUGCUGAAAGCAUCUAAGCAUGAAGCCCCCCUCAAGAUGAGAUUUCCCAUAGCGUCAAGCUAGUAAGAUCCCUGAAAGAUGAUCAGGUUGAUAGGUCAGAGGUGGAAGCGCGGUGACGUGUGGAGCUGACUGAUACUAAUCGAUCGAGGACUUAACCUA